UCCCUAGUGACUUAGUGGUAAAGAAUCUGCCUGCAAUGCAGGAAAUGCAGGUUCGAUCCCUGGGUCAGGAA
RNAcentral lists this transfer RNA (71 nucleotides) under Bos indicus (zebu cattle). It matches the Rfam family "tRNA". Rfam says of the family: Transfer RNA (tRNA) molecules are approximately 80 nucleotides in length. Their secondary structure includes four short double-helical elements and three loops (D, anti-codon, and T loops). Further hydrogen bonds mediate the characteristic L-shaped molecular structure. tRNAs have two regions of fundamental functional importance: the anti-codon, which is responsible for specific mRNA codon recognition, and the 3' end, to which the tRNAs corresponding amino acid is attached (by aminoacyl-tRNA synthetases). tRNAs cope with the degeneracy of the genetic code in two manners: having more than one tRNA (with a specific anti-codon) for a particular amino acid; and 'wobble' base-pairing, i.e. permitting non-standard base-pairing at the 3rd anti-codon position. The record is from Rfam by way of RNAcentral. Lineage: Eukaryota; Metazoa; Chordata; Mammalia; Artiodactyla; Bovidae. RNAcentral also lists the same sequence under 3 other names.